Molecule: long non-coding RNA, 344 nt
Filed under: Macaca mulatta (Rhesus monkey)
Lineage: Eukaryota; Metazoa; Chordata; Mammalia; Primates; Cercopithecidae
Description: lncRNA (ENSMMUG00000064043.1)
Source: RNAcentral
AUUAUGUUCAGAGAUGCUCAAUCUACUUUGUAUACAAGUAGCAUUAUAUAAAUAAUUCCAUGGAUAUUAUAAUAUGUAAUAUCUCAAACCACAGUUUACAUUUGCCUAAUCAACUCAUUAACUUAUCAGCUCCAAACACAUUUAACACUGAGCAGCAAUUGUCCAUGGCAGGCUAUUGCUUGCUAUUCUCAGCUGCCAGACGAAGGAAUGCUAAAAAGAGCCUUUGUAGAUUGGGAAACCUAUGCUUUAAAAGAAAUGACGCUGCCUACAAGGAACACAGAGCAGGCGUUUUUAGAACAAGAGUUCCAGAUUCCUGUGACUCAGAUGUAAAUACAUCUGGCUAA